GACGGAGGAUGCAAGCGUUAUCCGGAAUUACUGGGCGUAAAGCGCACGCAGGUGGCUGAGUCAGUCGAUUGUGAAAGCCCUGGGCUUAACCUGGGAAUUGCAGUCGAUACUACUCGGCUCGAGUAUGGGAGAGGGCAGUGGAAUUCCCGGUGUAGCGGUGAAAUGCGUAGAUAUCGGGAGGAACAUCAGUGGCGAAGGCGGCUGCCUGGCCCAAUACUGACACUCAGGUGCGACAGCGUGGGGAGCAAACAGG
This 253-nucleotide ribosomal RNA is filed under the name uncultured bacterium. Its description in RNAcentral is "partial 16S ribosomal RNA". It matches the Rfam family "Bacterial small subunit ribosomal RNA", at positions 524 to 776 of the family's 1533-position model. The record is from RNAcentral.